RNAcentral lists this ribosomal RNA (254 nucleotides) under uncultured bacterium. RNAcentral describes it as "partial 16S ribosomal RNA". It matches the Rfam family "Bacterial small subunit ribosomal RNA", at positions 524 to 776 of the family's 1533-position model. The record is from RNAcentral.
CACGUAGGGUGCGAGCGUUGUCCGGAAUUAUUGGGCGUAAAGAGCUCGUAGGCGGUGUGUCGCGUCGGCCGUGAAAACCUGCAGCUUAACUGUGGGCUUGCGGUCGAUACGGGCAUCACUGGAGUUCGGCAGGGGAGACUGGAAUUCCUGGUGUAGCGGUGAAAUGCGCAGAUAUCGGGAGGAACACCAGUGGCGAAGGCGGCUCUCUGGGCCCUACCUGACGCUGAGACGCGAAAGCGUGGGGAGCGAACCGG